This 716-nucleotide long non-coding RNA is filed under the name Homo sapiens (human). Its description in RNAcentral is "novel transcript". The record is from RNAcentral. Lineage: Eukaryota; Metazoa; Chordata; Mammalia; Primates; Hominidae.
UUUUUUUUUUUUUUUUUUUUUUUUUUUUUUUGAGACAGAGUCUCAUUUACUCUGUCACCCAGGCUGGAGUCUGGAGUGCAGUCGUGUGAUCUUGGCUCACUGCAACCUUCUCCUCCUGGGUUCAAGCGAUUGUCCUUCCUCAGCUGCCUGAGUAGCUGGGACUACAGGUGUGCAUCACCACACCAGGCUAAUUUUUAUAUUUUUAGUAGAGACGGGGUUUCACCAUAUUGUCCAGGCUGGUCUCAAACUCCUGACCUCAAGUGAUCCACCCACCUUGGCCUCCCAAAGUGCUGGGAUUACAGGCGUGAGGCAUCGCACCUAUCCUUAACUGUAAUCUUAAAGAGAGAAACCAGGAAAGACAAUUCUCAAACGGAACUUAAACUCUCAUCCCCUCCAUGGGUUUGUCAGUGUGGCCAGUACAAAGGGUGGUUGGUCAGUCAGAGCCAGUACGAAGGUGAUUAGUCAAAACGAUUUUCUGAGUGAUUGUCUGAGAGAAUGACCAAGCCACCUCCAAGGCUACGAUCCUACUUGGGGAUCAAGAGUUAAGCGCCAUGGAAGCCCAAGCUGCAGUGUGCACUGUUUGCCAUGUCUACGGGAGCAGGCACCAUUCAUAUAUGUGUUAAAAGCAAGCUGGUCACUGUGCUAAAGCUGACGGCUCUCGUGUUUGAGGAACACAUAUCUCAUGACUUACACAAGUGGAAAAAAAAAAGAAAAAA